Molecule: ribosomal RNA, 301 nt
Filed under: uncultured bacterium
Lineage: Bacteria
Description: partial 16S ribosomal RNA
Rfam family: Bacterial small subunit ribosomal RNA
Source: RNAcentral
CAGCCGCCGCGGUAAUACGAAGGGGGCUAGCGUUGUUCGGAAUUACUGGGCGUAAAGGGCGCGUAGGCGGCCAUUCAAGUUAGAUGUGAAAGCCCUGGGCUCAACCUAGGAAUUGCAUUUGAUACUGUUUGGCUUGAGUUCGGGAGAGGUGAGUGGAAUUCCCAGUGUAGAGGUGAAAUUCGUAGAUAUUGGGAAGAACACCAGUGGCGAAGGCGGCUCACUGGACCGACACUGACGCUGAGGCGCGAGAGCGUGGGGAGCAAACAGGAUUAGAUACCCGCGUAGUCCCUGUCUCUUAUAC